UUUAACUUGCAAGAAGAGUGACAGAAAGCUGUUAUUUUCAAGCAGCUGGCAAAUUUGUGGAGGGCUGGGAAGUCAAGGCUAGUGUCACAAGUACGUGCUGCAAAGACUACUGCUGAAAGAAUAGAUUUAAAACCCAGCAACAUCCCAUCCAUUCAAGUGUGGAACUGUUGGGUUAAGAGCAAGACUACCACAACUUUCACGGAAAUAAGUAACAAGUACAGAGAGAUUAGAAAAAAUCAGAUUCCUCACACCACCAGCCGCAAAGGAAAGCUUCGUUUAGCUGAAGAUAUGAAAAAAGAGAGUAAAGAGCCAAGUAAGGUGACAAGGAGUAAGGUAUGGCCUGCGGGACACACUCAUGCUGAUGGUAGACCUGUGAAUAGAGAUGGCAAUCAUGGAUCUGGACCGCGGGCUUGGCCCAUAAAGGACUGUCGCGGUACGGUAUUGGGAUGAGGUUUUUUAGGCCCGCAAAUUUGCGGGCCUCGCGGGAUGGGUCUUUGCGGGACUGGGUCUUUUGCGGGAUG
Molecule: long non-coding RNA, 521 nt
Organism: Brassica oleracea var. oleracea
Lineage: Eukaryota; Viridiplantae; Streptophyta; Magnoliopsida; Brassicales; Brassicaceae
Exons: 3
Source: RefSeq, a predicted model, not a curated record